CCCCUAGAGUUUGAUCCUGGCUCAGGACGAACGCUGGCGGCGUGCUUAACACAUGCAAGUCGAACGCUGAAGCUUGGUGCUUGCACUGGGUGGAUGAGUGGCGAACGGGUGAGUAAUACGUGAGUAACCUGCCCUUGACUCUGGGAUAAGCCUGGGAAACUGGGUCUAAUACUGGAUACGACAUGUCACCGCAUGGUGGUGUGUGGAAAGGGUUUUACUGGUUUUGGAUGGGCUCACGGCCUAUCAGCUUGUUGGUGGGGUAAUGGCUCACCAAGGCGACGACGGGUAGCCGGCCUGAGAGGGUGACCGGCCACACUGGGACUGAGACACGGCCCAGACUCCUACGGGAGGCAGCAGUGGGGAAUAUUGCACAAUGGGCGAAAGCCUGAUGCAGCGACGCCGCGUGAGGGAUGACGGCCUUCGGGUUGUAAACCUCUUUCAGCACGGAAGAAGCGAAAGUGACGGUACGUGCAGAAGAAGCGCCGGCUAACUACGUGCCAGCAGCCGCGGUAAUACGUAGGGCGCAAGCGUUGUCCGGAAUUAUUGGGCGUAAAGAGCUCGUAGGCGGUUUGUCGCGUCUGCUGUGAAAGCCCGGGGCUUAACCCCGGGUGUGCAGUGGGUACGGGCAGACUUGAGUGCAGUAGGGGAGACUGGAAUUCCUGGUGUAGCGGUGAAAUGCGCAGAUAUCAGGAGGAACACCGAUGGCGAAGGCAGGUCUCUGGGCUGUUACUGACGCUGAGGAGCGAAAGCAUGGGGAGCGAACAGGAUUAGAUANNCUGNUAGUCCAUGCC
This 791-nucleotide ribosomal RNA is filed under the name Kocuria sp. AKB-2008-RU7. Its description in RNAcentral is "bacterial SSU rRNA". It matches the Rfam family "Bacterial small subunit ribosomal RNA", at positions 1 to 801 of the family's 1533-position model. Lineage: Bacteria; Bacillati; Actinomycetota; Actinomycetes; Micrococcales; Micrococcaceae. The record is from RNAcentral.